UGUGAUGCCUUCAAUUGGUUUGUUAUACUAUACCAAAAGAACUUGGGGGCUGCUAACUUCAUACAUAUUGAUCAUUAGAUAAUUCACUACAACAAAAAUAGUUUAUAGUGAUGAAAUUUUAGUAACACUGAGAAAUGAGUGUUACUAUAAAUACUUUCUAAUGAUGAUUUUAAAAAAUAUCAUAAAAGAUAUACAAUAUUAUGGUACUUUGUUAAGAAUGUUACUAAAAAUUAUUAUAUAGCGAUGGUAUCUUAUAACUAUCAUAAGAAAUUAUAUUCUAUUAC
RNAcentral lists this long non-coding RNA (284 nucleotides) under Elaeis guineensis (African oil palm). Its description in RNAcentral is "long non-coding RNA (EGUI_LNC014961)". The record is from RNAcentral. Lineage: Eukaryota; Viridiplantae; Streptophyta; Magnoliopsida; Arecales; Arecaceae.